CCCUUAGAUGUCCUGGGCCGCACGCGCGCUACACUGAGUGUCUGAGAUACGAGUCUGCCUGGUCCGGCAAGGUCUAGGUAAUCGCUAAAAGACACAUCAUGCUUGGGAUAGAUUAUUGCAAAUAUUAAUCUUGAACGAGGAAUUCCUAGUAAGCGCAAGUCAACAGCUUGCGUUGAUUACGUCCCCGCCCUUUGUACACACCGCCCGUCGCUACUACUGAUUGGAUGUUUAAGCGAGGUUCUCGAACUGCUAGCGACUUAGCUUCGGUGAGGUCGCAGUGUGGGAAGUGAACCUAGCUUUGGUGUCUAGAGGAAGUAAAAGUCGUAACA
Molecule: ribosomal RNA, 329 nt
Filed under: uncultured eukaryote
Lineage: Eukaryota
Description: partial 18S ribosomal RNA
Rfam family: Eukaryotic small subunit ribosomal RNA
Source: RNAcentral